GCAAGUCGAACGCACUCUUCGGAGUGAGUGGCAGACGGGUGAGUAACGCGUGGGAAUGUGCCUAUCGGUACGGAAUAGCUCCGGGAAACUGGAAUUAAUGCCGUAUACGCCCUUCGGGGGAAAGAUUUAUUGCCGAUAGAUCAGCCCGCGUUAGAUUAGCUAGUUGGUGAGGUAAAAGCUCACCAAGGCUACGAUCUAUAGCUGGUCUGAGAGGAUGAUC
This 220-nucleotide ribosomal RNA is filed under the name uncultured bacterium. RNAcentral's name for it is "partial 16S ribosomal RNA". It matches the Rfam family "Bacterial small subunit ribosomal RNA", at positions 57 to 305 of the family's 1533-position model. The record is from RNAcentral.